RNAcentral lists this transfer RNA (57 nucleotides) under Bos taurus (domestic cattle). It matches the Rfam family "tRNA", at positions 8 to 63 of the family's 71-position model. From Rfam's summary of the family: Transfer RNA (tRNA) molecules are approximately 80 nucleotides in length. Their secondary structure includes four short double-helical elements and three loops (D, anti-codon, and T loops). Lineage: Eukaryota; Metazoa; Chordata; Mammalia; Artiodactyla; Bovidae. The record is from Rfam by way of RNAcentral. RNAcentral also lists the same sequence under 4 other names.
UGGCUCAGAUGGUAAAGCAUCUGCCUGCCAAGCAGGAGACCCGGGUUUGAUCCCUGG